GUUGUUGGAGACUGCCUUCUUCCCAAAACCUGGGUGAACUACUAUGUUUAUUAUAAAUUAUUAUUAUUACACAGAUAAGGUUUGCUCAACUGUAGCUUGGAACAUUAUUCUCAAAUUCAAGAGAAUCUUUUUCAUAUCUUGCACUCUUUCGUGUUUGACUUUUUACUCCCUACAAUGCCAUGUAAGAGCACAAAGUUGGGACUGCUAAAAGGGUUUUUGUUACAGUGUUCUUCUUCCUAGUUUCAAGUGGACUUUUAUGCUUUUUUUUUUUUUUAAAUGACAAAGGAAACAAGCAAGGAAACAUGCCAUGCCAACUGUGGCCUCUCGCUGUGGUGUUGUAAUAAGUAGAACAGUACAAUAAAGGGUUGUAAGCUACUACAAAAUGCCAUCAUCAACAAAUGUCAGUUUGUACUCUCACAGCAUCUCCUGCAACUUUCAAAGGCCAACCAAACAAAUAUGAGCAUAUUUCUCACAUGGCCACAGACCAAAGUUUUUCACUUCCUGUGUGGAAAUGUAUCUGUGGUAUUGUGAAAGAACGCCAGCAAGACUGUAUCUUAACGCUAUGCACGUAAGUCCGCCAUAGAAGCUGUACCUGCUAAUUACUAUAGCUAUUAGAUAUUGCCUUUUCUUGUUUUUGUGACCUUAAAGCUGUUGUCAUAUUGAGAUAAGGACCAAACAGCAUAUGGCAAUCGAUACUGGGUUUUCAAGAUAUUUGGGCAUCAACUGGACCUUGACUCUAAUAUGCUGCUUCUUCUAUAUUUUCUUGCAAGCAGAAACACACAGGAUCUCACGGACAGCUGGGAGCACAGUGACCCUGAACUGUAGCAAUGACUCAAUUAGCAACUUAACUCAACUGGCGUGGAAAAUGAAUGGGGAUAUUCUGUUCACUAUCAGGCCAGAUGAAACCUUUAACAGCAGCUCAAAGGACUCAAAGGUCAGAUGUGUAACGUCCUCUAAAGCUGAGAGCCUGAAGCUGAACGUGUCCAUGUUAAAGAACCAACUGUAUGCAUUAACCAUAACGAGAGCCCAGAGUUCGCACACGGGAAACUACACUUGUGAAUUCUCUGCAUUAAAGGGAGUCGAGGAACAGAAAUGGGAGCUCGUAAUUACAGAGGAUGCUGAAGCAAGAAAUGCAUUGAAUAUCCCGCUUGCCGUAGUAGUUAUUGUACCUUGUACGUGUUUCCUCAUCUUUCUAAUUACUAUUGUGAUCAUUCUGAGAAAAGUCUGCAAACGACGUUUACGCUCUCGUUCUCCCAAUUCAAUAAUGGAACAGAAAGAAGAUAUUUAUGAAAACUGCCUGGAACUUGAAAAUCGCCAACGACGCAGCCAGAUUCAGGUUCAACCUUACAGAUACAGAUGAUAUGAACCACACAUAGUAAAAGAAGACUCAACUUUUUAUAUCAAAAGAUUUAAACAGCUUUCUUCUUAUAUGUAAUAUAAUAAAAACAAACAUAAAGUGUACUUAAAGCUGCAUUUUUCUUGGCUACAUGAACAUCUGUCAGUUUAUAAAUAAGUCAACAGUUUACACAUUUGUCAUUUCAAUACGGAGAGAUCGUUUGGAAGAACUGAUCGCGAAUAUUUACUGAGAUAGAGAAAUGGAUCAAUGUGUCUGCUGGUUGAACUCUGGUCCCAUCGGUGAUCGGAUUUAAGACAAGACCCCUAAACGCUGGUGGUGGUGAAGAUGAAUAUUAAGGCUUGGAUGGAGCUCUGAGUGACUCGGGUGGGUUGAAAGUGUGAACGACAGACCAUUGAGAUUUAAACUCUCCAGAGUGGAGGCUGAUUGGCUCAAAUAAGGCAGUUCAGUUGUACAGGUGCCCAGCUGUGAGUGGUGUGCGGAUGUACGGCUCCUGAAUGACUGGUUCCAGCUGUUGGAAGACCACCCCUGAGAGGGCCUAGGCCUGGAGAGCUGCCAGUGACAGAGCUUCACUUCCUUUACCUAAAGCCUUAUCAGCUGCUCCUGUGACAGUCGCUGGCUGAGGUUCUCUGUAGUGAGGAAGGGGAGUGGGUAGAGCUGGCAUGGAAGACUUUUCAAGAUAUUGGGGAAUCAACAGGACCCUUUUUCUAAUAUGUUGCAUCGUGUGUAUGUUUUUACAAGCAGAAGGGAACAGCACUUCCUUGAUGGCUGGGAGCACAGUGACCCUGCACUGUAGCAAUAACUCAAUCAGCGACCUCCAACAACUGACAUGGAAAAGGAAUGGGACUCUUCUGUUUAGUUUCAAGGCACAGAAAACCUCAAACAACAGCUCUGUGACUUUAAGCAGUAAUCAGAACAUGUCAGACAGCAGAAUAAUAAGGUCUCAUGCAGCUGCCAUCCUGAAUCUAAGCAUGUCCACCUUAAAAAGCCAACUGUAUGCACUAAUCAUAGAGAGAGCUCAGAAACAUCACGAAGGAAACUACACUUGUGAAACGACCACAGACUCAGGAGUCUUCGAACAGAAAUGGGAGCUCAUAAUUACAGAGAACGCUGAAGCUGAAGGUCCAUUUAAAAUCCAUAUUGCUGCAGCAGUUGUUGUCCCUUCGCUAUGUUUCCUGAUCUUUAUAUUAACUGCUGUGAUCAUUCUCAGAGGAGUCUGCAAACGACGUUCGCAAAGAAUCACCCAGGCUCCUAGAAGACUGCAGGAGCAGAGACAACCCACUUAUGAAAACCUGGAUUUUGAAGGUCGCCAACAAUGUGGACAAAUUCAGGUUCACCCCUAUAAAUACAGGGCUGAGUGAUAUGAAUCGCACAGUAACAUAAGGCCUAACUCUUUUAAAUGAUCAACCACUUUAAACGGCUUUCUCUGUGAAUGUAUUGUAGUGAAGAGCACAGUCUGUACUUGAAGCUGCAUUAUUUAUUUUUUUCUGGCUGAACUGAAGACCAGUCAGAAUGUGACCUCAUCGAUUUGUAGUCAUAAGUUAACAGCUGACAGUAGAUACCUGUCAGUUUUGUACAGGGUGUUUAAUUACUGACGAAAAUAGAUUGCUUGGAGCUCUUAAAUGCACUGUUACUCACACACUGGCUAAUGUUGUUGUUUUAAAUGAAUUCAGAACACACCCUCAUGUUAUCUUAGGCUGCUCUGCUUAGUAAUCUCAAGACUUUACAGCGUUACAGAGAGAACAAGUGCCCAUUCAGUAUGAGUUUAGUGCUGCAGUUUAUCUCUAGUGCAAAAGUAAAACUUGACACAUUUAAACAUGAUAGGGUAGUUGAGGCACUGAUUGGGAUGCUGUCUCACAGUUUAAUGUAGAGAGAAGCAGAUCAAAGUGAAAUUUAUUUAAUUAAUAAAUUAAAUUAACUUUCUAUGCUUUAAUUCUGCAGUUUUUUCCCUCAUCACCAGGUAAAUGCACAAUGCAAUUUCAAAUACAUUUUUUAUGCUGUUGCAACCUCACAGAAGAUCUCCUUUCUGUGCUUUUAAUAAGAUCCGUCUCAAUCCACUGCAUAUAUAAAAAGUAUUAUUUCAUCACAUAUUAUAUCACUUUUAAAGCACACAGUAGCAACAACCCCAUUUCUAAAAAGUUGGGACACUGUGUAAAAUAAAAACAGAAUGCAAGUUUUACCAAAUCUAAUAAACUCAUUUUUUAUUUCUAUCAAACAUAUAAAUCAAAUAUCGAAUGUUUAAACUGAGACAUUUUACUCUUUCAUGAAAAAUAUGAGCUCAUUUUCAAUUUAAUGGCUGCAGCCUGUGUCAAGAAAUCUGGGACAGGGGCAACAAAAGACUACAAGUAAUUAGGUUAAUUGUUAACAGGCCAGUAAAACCAAUCUUUGAAAAAUACGAUGGACUGCUUUCAGAACUGCACAUGAUUAUUUUCAGCUAGCAGGUUGUUAAUGCUAUCCAUCGAGUCUAACAAUCUGCAGUCUAUGAACUAACCUCAGCUAAUGCCAGCUAACAAUGUUAGCUUGGUGGCGAGUGGCCUUUAGUAAUAGUAAUAAAUCACACAGCAAUAGUACAUCGAAGAUACUGAAGUGGCGCAUAACCCAGGUAGCUACCACAACUAAAACAAGGUAGUUGCAGUAGGCUAACAUUAGUUUUUAAAAAAGAACUCACUUCCAGAUGUUUCUUUAAGUUGGAGGUGGAGUCUUUUUACGCUGAGAGCAACUUGGUUUCUGGCAAACAUAGUUUGCAAUGCAUGGUCAGAUUUUGCCCAUCCUUUUCUUCUUUAAAUGUUAAGUGGUGUCGGAAUUUCCAAGUAAGAAAUGCGUUCCUGCCCGUGCACUUCUGGCUCUGUUGUGCUGGCUCUGGGUCCAUUGUGUAACUGAUGCCACCAACAUUAACAGGAGACUUACAUUAAAGCCUCUUAUUUCGCGUUUUGUUUGGGUUUCCAGCAAUGUGUGGAAUUACCAGAAUUAGAGAGGGGAUAGAGAGGGGAUAACCCAACAUAUGAAACAGGAAAAGGCCGCCAUGUAAUCCAUUUAUUUCAAAAAAGUAACUGUAUUCUAAUAAACCCCCUUUAAACAGUAACUGUAACUGAAUACAGUUACUCAUAUUUUGUAUUUUAAAUACGUAACACUGGCACAUGUAUUCCGUUACUCCCCAACACUGCCCUGGACUGUAAAUUAACUCCUAUAUGAGACUUAAAUGGACAACAUUCCUCUUCCAAAAGUCCAGCAACUGGUAUUUUCAGUUUCUAGAUGUUAACACACUGUUCAUAAAAGAAGUGGGGAGGUACACCGUUCUAAACGUGGCCCUGAAACAUGCUGGAACCACAAAUUCAAAUUCAUUUCUUAAAAUGGCACAGUUUACAAGUUUACACGUUUGAUAAACAUUUUCUAAGUAAAUAGAAUAUACAUUUACAUUUGUGAGAUUUGCAAAUCAUUGCAUUUUGUUUCUAUUUACAUUUUGCACAGGAUCCCAACUUUUUUGCAACUGGGGUUAUAGAAGUGACACUUUGAGGCAGUUUUACCCCAAAACUGCGCAUCACCUGCUCCAGAUCAGACUAUGUUUGCAGGAUGAGUUACCAUGGUGAUCUAGCCAGGUUAAAGGAAAGACAAGUUUGUGACACUGCAGACUCUGACUUUAAGCUUUACACAGCUCACUAAAGCAUUAAUCCCACUUUGUACUAUACUCCUUUUGACUGCAUUCUAAAGAGAGUCAAAAAGAUGGUACAGAAGUCCCAUUUAGACUCUGCGUGACUCAGUGGAACAUAUCUCACCUACUUCCCUUGUCUGUGGUCUCUGGUGUGAAGUGGCGUAGAUGCAUAAAAAAAACAACAAAAAAACAACCACAACUCACAAAAGUGUCCUAUUUAGAUCAACAAACGGUUUAACUCCAGACACUGAUGUAGGAGGUAAUUUCCUGAGAAAUUAUUUUUUCCAUCUAAAUAAAAUCUAAAAGAGCAAACAGUGCACUGCUAUUGCACAUAACCUAUUCAGUUCAUCAGCUGGCAAAGUGCAUAAACAGAAAGCUUAAAGGUCAUGAAAGAGAAGUACAGUGCUUAAAAAAAUUAUUCAAAAGCAGUAUACAUGAGCCAAGUUUAAACUCCCGGAGGUUGGAGCUGCCCACACUGGCAGUCCACACCUCUAAUUUGAAAAGGGCCUUAAUAAAAAUAAGAACGGAUAAGUCAGAAAGAAGAAAAAACAUCUCCCUCAUCCAUAUUAGGUUAACUGGAGACUAAAAGUUGCCCAAAGGUGUGAGUGUGAAUGGCUUUCUGUCUCUAUGUGCUGACUCUGCAGUAGACAUUCUUGAACCCCUCCCCCCACAGCUCAGCCUGAUUUGGAUAAGGGGUUAACAAGUUGCUCCAGUGUUUUGUUUUGUUUUUCUGAAUAGAUAUCAUUUAAUGUGUAGCACCUAUGCUUGUAGAGACUACAUUGAUCAGGUGUAACAUUAUGACUACCUGCCUAUAUUACGUUUGCCCGUUUUUCAGCUGCAGUGCACUGUGUAUUCUGACACUUUUCCAUGAGUACCAAUAUUACCUUUUUUGGCAAUUUGAGCUACAGUAGCUCAUCUGUUGGACCAGACCACAAGCACCAGCCUUUGGCCUUUAAUGACCCUGUGACUGGUUCACCACUGUUCCUUCCUUAGUCCACUUUUGAUAGAUACUGACCAUUGACUGGGAACAAAGGCUGGGAGCAGGGGUUUCGAGGUGCUCUGAUCCAGUCGCCUAGUUUGCCCUUGUGACACUUGCUCAGAGCCUUACGCUUGCCCUUUUUUCCUGCUUUGAACACAUGUAAUUUGAAGACAAAAUGUUCACUUGCUCCCUAAUAUAUCCCACCCAGUAAGAGGUGCCAUGCUGAAGAGAUAAUCAGUGUUAUUUCCUCACCUGUUAGUGGUCAUAAUGUUAUACCAGAUCGGUGUAGGUACAUUACAAUCAAAACCAUAACUUUUGAAAAAUGUGAAUGACUUUAUUUUGUACAGGUUACCUCUUUUGCAAGCACAACUGUGUAUAUAGAAAAAUGGAAUGUGAGUGUUGUGUGUAUAAAACAACGAAAUAAAAGAAAAUAACAAAAAAAAAAAGAAAAUUCAUUUAAAAUCAUAAUAACACAAGGGGGAAAAGUCACUUACUCAGUGCCUUUGGCCUCUGCUGUGCCUCUGACUCAGUCCUCAUGCCAGAACCAAUCAAUGUCGAGUUCCUGUAGAGUCUUUGCCAAGUAAAAGCGCCCAAGAAUGUCACCAUUGAUUUGUGACAAUUUUUCUGGUCUUGUUUUCAAGGGAAAAAAAUGAUAAUAAUGAGGCCCAGACACAGAGCGUAUGAAACAUGGAAACAAAUUAAACCUAUUUUGUAACCCUUAAUAUAGACAAUUGUGUAUGGUAUGCUCAUUGUGAU
This is a long non-coding RNA of Oreochromis aureus, 6738 nucleotides long. The record is from Ensembl. NCBI's taxonomy places the organism in Eukaryota, Metazoa, Chordata, Actinopteri, Cichliformes, Cichlidae.